UUGCAUUUUGAUUUUAGGGGGGUGGAGUACAUACCGGCCGGAACCGCAGUAACGUCAUUACGAUACUAACGUUAGUUGCUCAGCCAAACUCAAUUCUUUGGACCUGAGCCCUAGGACCAUGCCCCAGGACUACCUGACAUGAUGACUCCUUGCUGUCCCCAGUCCACCUGGCCAUGCUGCUGCUCCAGUUUCAACUGGCCUGGGCCCUAGGACCAUGUCCCAGGACUACCUGACAUGAUGACUCCUUGCUGUCCCCAGUCCACCUGGCCAUGCUGCUGCUCCAGUUUCAACUGUUCUGCCUUACUAUUAUUCAACCAUGCUGGUCAUUUAUGAACAUUUGAACAUCUUGGCCACGUUCUGUUAUAAUCUCCACCCGGCACAGCCAGAAGAGGACUGGCCACCCCACAUAUGCUCUCUCUAAUUCUCUCUUUCUUUCUCUCUCUCUGAGGACCUGAGCCCUAGGACCGUGCCCCAGGACUACCUGACAUGAUGACUCCUUGCUGUCCCCAGUCCACCUGACUGUGCUGCUGCUCCAGUUUCAACUGUUCUGCCUUAUUAUUAUUCGACCAUGCUGGUCAUUUAUGAACAUUUGAACAUCUUGGUCAUGUUCUGUUAUAAUCUCUACCCGGCACAGCCAGAAGAGGACUGGCCACCCCACAUAGCCUGGUUCCUCUCUAGGUUUCUUCCUAGGUUUUGGCCUUUCUAGGGAGUUUUUCCUAGCCACCGUGCUUUUACACCUGCAUUGUUUGCUGUUUGGGGUUUUAGGCUGGGUUUCUGUACAGCACUUUGAGAUAUCAGCUGAUGUACGAAGGGCUAUAUAAAUAAAUUUGAUUUGAUUUGAUUUGAUAUCCAUCCUGCCCUGCCCUGCCUCUAGACCCAAACUGUUAUAGACAAAUAUCCAUCCUGCCCUGCAUUUCUCGAAAGCCAAGUUAAUAAAUAGAUCACUGACCAUUUUGAAUCCCACCGUACCAUCUCCCCUGUGCAAUCCGGUUUCCGAGCUGGUUCCCUGAUACACCUCUACGCAGACGACACCAUUCUGUAUACAUCUGGCCCUUCAUUGGACACUGUGUUACCAAACCUCCAAACGAGCUUCAAUGGCGUACAACACUCCUUCAGUCGCCUCCAACUGCUCUUAAAUGCUAGUAAGACUAAAUGCAUGCUUUUCAACCGUUUGCUGCCCACACCCGCCCGCCCGACUAGCAACAUUACUCUGGACGGUUCUGACUUAGAAUAUGUGGACAACUACAAAAACCUAGGUGUUUGGCUAGACUGUAAACUCUCCUUCCAGACUCAGUAAACAUCUCCAAUCCAAAAUUAAAUCUAGAAUCGUCUUCCUAUUUCGCAGCAAAGCCUCCUUCACUCAAGCCGCCAUGCAUACCCUCGUAAAACGGACUAUCCUACCGAUCCUCGACUUCGGCGAUGUCAUUUACAAAAUAGCCUCCAACACUCUACUCAACAAACUGGAUGCAGUCUAUCACAGUGCCAUCCAUUUUGUCACAAAAGCCCCAUAUACCACCCACCACUGCUCUCGUCUGCUGGCCAUCGCUACAUAUUUGUCGCCAGACCCACUGGCUCCAGGUCAUCUAUAAGUCUUUGCUAGGUAAAGCUCCGCCUUAACUCAGGUCACUGGUCACGAUAACAACACCCACCCAUAGCACGCGCUCCAGCACGCGCUUCAAAGCCAACACCUGCUGCGGAUGACUGGAACGAAUUGCAAAAAUCGCUGAAGCUGGAGACUUAUUUCCCUCACUAACUUUAAACAUCAGCUAUCUGGGCAGCUAACCGAUCACUGCAGCUGUACAUAGCCCAUCUGUAAAUAUUAAAAUUUUUACCUUUAUUUUACUUGGCAAGAUCAGUUAAGAACAAAUUCUUAUUUUCAAUGACGGCCUAGGAACAGUGGGUUAACUGCCUGUUCAGGGGCAGAACGACAGAUUUGUACCUUGUCAGCUCGGGGGUUUGAACUUGCAACCUUCCGGUUACUAGUCCAACGCUCUAACCACUAGGCUACCCUGCUGCCCAUCCAUUCUACCUACCUCAUCCCCAUAUUGUUUUUAUUUACUUUUCUGCUCUUUUGCACACCAGUAUUUCUACUUGCACAUCUAUCACUCGUGUUGAUUUGCUAAAUUGUAAUUACUUCGCUACUAUGGCCUAUAUAUUGCCUUACCUCCUCACACCAUUUGAACACUGUGUAUAGACUUUCUUUUCUUCUAUUGUGUUAUUGACUGUACACUUGUUUAUCCCAUGUGUAACUCUGUGUUUGUGUCGCACUGCUUUGCUUUAUCUUUGCCAGGUCGGAGUUGUAAAUGAGAACUUGUUCUCAACUAGCCUACCUGGUUAAAUAAAAUAAUACAAAUAAAUAUUUUUUGAAGCUGCAAAUAGUGUUUUUAUUUUUUAUUAAAUAACAUUUACACAAUAAAUCCUACAUUGUACAUAAUCACUAUAGUAGUAGGUUACUUGCCUGCAUCUCUGUAUGGACAAUAUUUAACCUCAGACUAUUGUUGAAGAUGGACUUCAAUACAUCACAAUGUUCACAUUUAAUUUUUUAACUAAACAGACAGAAAUGUCUGAGAAAAUUACAAUGAAUGGCAAAACAUUUUCGGAAAUUCACAAAAAGAUAUAGGUACGAAAAAGGGAAAACAUCGUUAAUUUGCUUACUAUACAGUGGACGGGCUUACUGUGCCCGGAUGUCAGUAAAAGACCGCUACAAAAAUGAAUUUGUAAAAGCUGAUAAAAAAAAAACUGUACAAUUCCAUAAGGACACACCGGGUAUUUAUUUUUUAUAGAUAAAAUAUUUUAUUUGGAUACAGGAGCAUUCCCUGAGAACCUUUGUUAAAACAAAAAUGUACAAACAUGUAAAAAAAAACGUUCAUUGGCCAUGUCAUGUAUCUAUACCCUAGAGGGCGCUCUAAUAACCUUUAGCAUCUUGCGCCAUCCAUCAUUACCCAACUGUUAACCUAACGUAGCAGGUUUAAAAUAAACGCCUGAAACUAGAUCCCAUAAAUAUUGUUUAUAAAAUUAAAAAAAUAACUGUCUGGGGAGGUUCUCUUCUGUACUGUUCAAUCAAUCCAGUAAAUGUGGAGGAGUUAAGAUGGCUGGUCACCUUGUUCAUGUCCAAAAGCUGAAGUCAAGUCACAG
Molecule: long non-coding RNA, 3135 nt
Organism: Oncorhynchus nerka (sockeye salmon)
Lineage: Eukaryota; Metazoa; Chordata; Actinopteri; Salmoniformes; Salmonidae
Exons: 2
Source: RefSeq, a predicted model, not a curated record